GUUUCAACUUAUAGAAUCGUAUAAUAUUGAAUGGACUAUGAAUAACUAGAAUAAGAUAUAGGUACUUACGACGUUUAAAAGUUUAUUGAACAAAUCAAGUAGAUCAGAUAUUAUUUCCACAUACAUUUUAAUACUUAGCAAAGCACAACAUAUGGGGGAAAUAAAUAAAUUAUGAUUAUAAUAUACACUCCAUGGGCAAACAAUAUAAAAUCAUUAAAUAAGUAGAUUGAUACACAUAUU
Non-coding RNA from Cinara cedri, 240 nucleotides. NCBI's taxonomy places the organism in Eukaryota, Metazoa, Arthropoda, Insecta, Hemiptera, Aphididae. The record is from the annotation of a GenBank genome assembly.